GGGUGUGAGUUUCCCUAGAGACCUCUGUCCACCCACAAUGCUGCCCGAGCCCUCCCUUUGAGAGGCUUGGGUCACUUCUACCCCCAGUCCUGGCGGUCCUUUGUGCAUUAUAAACCCAAAGGCAUGCAAACAAAUGUUUCAGAGGCUGGACUUCAGGCAGGCAACUGGGACCGACCUUAGGCUGCUCCUGUAGCAGCUCCAUCACCGGCCUGUGCACGGAACCUGGCACAACAAGCUCAAAUGCUCAGCCAGGUUCCCUCAGACACCAGGAAAUCAUCCCAACUAAAAGAAGUCCAGUUUUGAGGAGGGAGAACCCAGGAAAAGAGCAGCUCAGCUCACCAACCCCAAGCAGGAGUCUAGUUGGUGAAAAGACCAGAAAACCAGAAAGGAGGAGAGGCCGACUCUGACCCUGCCUUCCUGCAGCCAGUGCAGCCUGAGCAGGCGGCUGGGCAAAAAUAAUCAUUUUCAUUUUCCUGUCGCCCAGGCACUGGUGAGUUUCCUAACCGGGCUGCCUGUGAAAGGAUGAGUUGAGGUCUCUUUGUCUGAGAAAAGAG
This is a long non-coding RNA of Bubalus bubalis (water buffalo), 554 nucleotides long. RefSeq lists it as uncharacterized. The transcript is spliced from 2 exons. NCBI's taxonomy places the organism in Eukaryota, Metazoa, Chordata, Mammalia, Artiodactyla, Bovidae. The record is from RefSeq and is a predicted model, not a curated record.